CACGGGGGGAGCAAGCGUUGUUCGGAAUCACUGGGCGUAAAGGGCGUGUAGGCGGUCAGGUUAGUGAGAUGUGAAAUGCCCCGGCUUACCCGGGGACCUGCAUCUCAAACUGCCUGGCUUGAGUAUGGGAGAGGAUGAGGGAAUUCCUGGUGUAGCGGUGAAAUGCGUAGAUAUCAGGAGGAACACCGGUGGCGAAAGCGCUCAUCUGGCCCAAUACUGACGCUGAGGCGCGAAAGCUAGGGGAGCAAACGGG
Molecule: ribosomal RNA, 253 nt
Filed under: uncultured bacterium
Lineage: Bacteria
Description: partial 16S ribosomal RNA
Rfam family: Bacterial small subunit ribosomal RNA
Source: RNAcentral